GUCUCGGAUAGUUUAACCGGUAGAGCAUUUGGCGCGUAACCAAAAGAUCCAGGUUCGAGUCCUGGUCUGGGCU
Molecule: transfer RNA, 73 nt
Filed under: Cotesia glomerata
Lineage: Eukaryota; Metazoa; Arthropoda; Insecta; Hymenoptera; Braconidae
Description: tRNA-Thr
Rfam family: tRNA
About the family: Transfer RNA (tRNA) molecules are approximately 80 nucleotides in length. Their secondary structure includes four short double-helical elements and three loops (D, anti-codon, and T loops). Further hydrogen bonds mediate the characteristic L-shaped molecular structure. tRNAs have two regions of fundamental functional importance: the anti-codon, which is responsible for specific mRNA codon recognition, and the 3' end, to which the tRNAs corresponding amino acid is attached (by aminoacyl-tRNA synthetases). tRNAs cope with the degeneracy of the genetic code in two manners: having more than one tRNA (with a specific anti-codon) for a particular amino acid; and 'wobble' base-pairing, i.e. permitting non-standard base-pairing at the 3rd anti-codon position.
Source: RNAcentral